Molecule: microRNA, 23 nt
Filed under: Magallana gigas (Pacific oyster)
Lineage: Eukaryota; Metazoa; Mollusca; Bivalvia; Ostreida; Ostreidae
Description: Mgi-Mir-96-P2m_5p (mature (guide))
Source: RNAcentral
CUUGGCACUGUCUGAGCGCAGGU